UGGUGCCAGCAGCCGCGGUAAUUCCAGCUCCAAUAGCGUAUAUUAAAGUUGUUGUGGUUAAAAAGCUCGUAGUUGAACCUUGGGCCUGGCUGGCCGGUCCCCCUCACCGGGUGCACUGAUCCAGCCGGGCCUUUCCCUCUGUGGAACCCCAUGGCCUUCACUGGCUGUGGCGGGGAAACAGGACUUUUACUUUGUAAAAAUUAGAGUGCUCCAGGCAGGCCUAUGCUCGAAUACAUUAUAAUGGAAAAAAAAAAUAGGGUGUGGGUUUCUAUUUUGUGGGUUUAUAGGACCGCCGUAAUGAUUAAUAGGGACAGUCGGGGGCAUCAGUAUUCAAUUGUCAGAGGUGAAAUUCUUGGAUCUAUUGAAGACUAACUACUGCGAAAGCAUUUGCCAAGGAUGUUUUCAUUGAUAAGGAACGAAAGUUAGGGGAUCGAAGACGAUCAGAUACCGUCGUAGUCUUAACUAUAAACUAUG
Molecule: ribosomal RNA, 474 nt
Filed under: Lomentospora prolificans
Lineage: Eukaryota; Fungi; Ascomycota; Sordariomycetes; Microascales; Microascaceae
Description: Scedosporium prolificans Eukaryotic small subunit ribosomal RNA
Rfam family: Eukaryotic small subunit ribosomal RNA
Source: Rfam by way of RNAcentral